UCUUUUUUUUUUCCCCCCUCCUCCUCUCCUCCAAUUUUUUUUUUCUUUCUUUCUUUUGGCUUGGUGCCUUCCAGGGCUGGUCUCCCCGGCCCCUGAAAUAACCGCUUCCUGACCCCGGUCGCCAGCCCCGCCCCAGGUUGCCCACCUCCCCCCAGGCUCUGCCCCUGGCCCCGGAGGGUGGGAAGCUUUGCCCAGCGGGUCUCCGCAGCAGCAGCGUAGCCAGCACCUGCCUCAGUAUGCUUGGGGUCAACGACCCUCCUCUUUUCAUAAAAGACAUUAAGGCCGGACUGAAAAACUUAAAUGUCGUCUUUAUUGUCCUGGAGAUAGGACGCGUGACCAAAACCAAAGACGGCCAUGAAGUGAGGUCCUGCAAAGUAGCUGAUAAAACGGGAAGCAUCACUAUUUCUGUGUGGGAUGAGAUUGGAGGGCUCAUACAGACAGGGGAUAUUAUUCGGUUGACCAGAGGGUAUGCGUCAAUGUGGAAAGGAUGCCUGACACUUUAUACUGGAAGAGGUGGUGAACUUCAAAAAAUUGGGGAAUUUUGUAUGGUGUAUUCAGAAGUGCCAAAUUUCAGUGAGCCAAACCCAGAUUAUAGAGGGCAGCAGAACAAAGGGGUAUACAAUGAGAAGGAUAAAGUGAGCGCCAGUACAUAUGGGCCAGUGGGAAAUGGUGUUCAGACUGGCCCUGAGUCAAGGGGAUAUCAUCUUCCAUAUAGUGGUAGAAGCAAUGUCCGGGAACCCAUCAAUCCACAGCUACCAGGAGCUCGUUGUAGUCAAACAGUCAUGACCACAAUAAGUAAUGCCAGGGAUCCGAGGAGAGCCUUUAAAAGAUGACCUAAGCCAAAGAGACACGUGUAGUCUUUAAACUACAUGCCCUACUUGAACACUUAGUGCACUUUUAUUUAUCGUUAACUGUGAAAAGUUUGUCUCUUACGGGUUUCCUUUUACAUUGUUGGUUUGUUAAGAAGAAUGGUUGGUUUUUAUUGCAAAAGUUAAGCUGCUCAGUUACAUCCUAUUGAAGAAUAGGAACUCUGAAAGCAGGAACAUUUAUUUUUAGAGCAAGAACUUACUGGGUAUCACUUGAAAACCUGUCCCUGUUUCAAGGGUGAGUUACUUAAGACACCAGCUUUAUGGCCUGUGGAUCUUCUGCGUACUCUGUGAUGUUUGCCAUAACAUUUCAUGGGAAAUGUUCUUCUGUCUUAACUGGGAUGUUGCCACCUGAAGUGAUAGCCCCCGAGCCCGAAGCCUGGCCAGUGCGACGGUACGUCGAGUGCCUGUUCCCGGGAUGACUGGCUUGCUAGAGUGACCGCACUGCCAUUCAGGUUGUCCAAGAACAAAAUCGUCCUAAAUCUUGUUUAAUUACCAGAAAACCAGUUUCCUUAUCAGAAUUAUGGAAUAAAAUGUGUAAUAUAACAAGUCAUUUUUAGGCGAAAACUGUUCAAGAUAAUGCUCUUAACAUCUGUUAAAAACGUUGAAGAAAAAUUUACAGUGGAGUCCUUGAAUGUUUUAUUUUUGAAACAACCAUGUUAAAUAUUAGUGUGAUUGGAGGGAGUUGCAAUACCGCAGUGGACAGUGAUCUCAUUAGUACUAGUUGUAGUAAUUUUGAGACUCGGUCUUACUCUGUAGCCCUGGCUGGGCUGGAACUUGUCAUGUAGACCAGAGGGGUCUCUGAACUCUGAUCUUCCUGCCGCUGUCUCUGUCUCCUAGAUGCUGGGGUUAAAGUUGUGCACUGCCAUACCAAACUGAUCAGAUUAUUAAAAAAAAAAACCAAAAACUUGUGGUAGAUAAAUAUUGUAGCAAAUGCAAUUCAGAUUGAAUUUUUAUAGCCAUGUGACUACUUGUUCCAGGUCGUCAGAUAGAAGGAAAAAGGCUGGGGUAGGUACUGCCUUUCUUCUGGAGGUGUGUGUGUGUGUGUCUGUGUGUCUGUGUGUCUGUGUGCGUGCACAUGCGCGCGCUUUAGUUUCUGAACACAUCACAUAGCCUUAUUAGCAAAAGAUAAAUGGCGCAAGAAGUAUAUACCUCAGUUAGAAAUGUUAGGGUGGGGUUUGUGUGUCCUGGUACUUCUGUUUACUGUAGGGGUGGGUAAUUGGUAGAUAUUUUCGUUGUUAGUUUGUCUCUUUAAAUAUUACCUCCUGAGUAAAUACCUUGCUCUGCUGACGGCACAGCCACCAACUCUGCUCUUUCCCUAAGCAUGGAGAGUCCAGUCGAGUUCACUGAAGCUGAGUCAGCUUCAGCCUGGCUGCUCCCCAGCUCUGUACCUGCCAUUUCUCCUCACCUCACACUGUACAAUAAGAAAACUUGCAAAACCAAAGCAAAGUGCCAUCCAAACAGUAAUGACUAAUUGCCUUCCCAGUCUGCUUGGAUACCACUCAUCAAGACGUUAUGGAAGAAAGUGUCAACCUUCCUCCUCUCUGCCUUCAACUGUCAACGUUGACACAAAUUUCAGCAAAAACCAUGUAGUGUAGAACUCUGGAGUGGAGCAACAACGUAUGAUCAGGCCAGCUUGUCCCUUUUGUCUGGCCAGGUGUUUGGGGAGUUGCCACAGAAUAGAAAGAGGAAGUCCAAAUGGCCAAAGCCUGAAGUUUGCCUUCACAGAAGCGUUUAAACACCCAGGUUUUCCUAUACUGUACCAACUCUUUUCCUCCAUAGUCUUAGUAACUUGGUGUUAAAACUUGAAGAGUGAUUAGUUUGAAAGCAUAGUUUGCAGGUUAACUAGCCCUUUAUAUUUUUAAAUUAUAUACAGAGAUUAUAUAUUGAGAUUAUAUACAGAAUAGUCUAGUGCAGUAGUCCAAAGGAGCAUCACAGUUGCUAGUUUCCAUUUGCGGAGGGAUCUGACCUGUCAGUACAGUUGCUGAAAUGCUUCCCUUCUUGGGUAUCAUUACCUUAAUGGCUGUUUGCUUGAAGCCAUUUUAGGCUGUGUGUGACUCGACUCUAGUGAUGACUGAGAGGCAUUGGAAGCGACAGAACAUGUUCCCAAACAGACGUGUGUCAAGCUCUAACCCCUCUGAGCUCCCUCGCCUUCCUGUUUGUUUAAUGCCCAGUUUUUACUUCCCUGUCUCUCACCUGCUGAAAGUCUGAUCAUUUUUAGUAGACAAGGACCAUAUGGUUCCAAUCAUUCUCUAGUACAGGGAUGGGAUGAGGAGGUUUGGGGCAGAGAGAUUGGCUAGUGAGAUCCUUGGUGCUGAGGCUCUAGAUGUUGAUUUUAAGUGGGAGUGAUUAACAGCCCCACAGUUCACAAAGUAGUUUUAAUGAUUAACACUCAGGUAUGCUUCUGACUUCGAAUUGUGACCUUUGAAAGUAGCACCAUCACUGACGUAUGACACCCCAAGGGAGAAGCUAGAAAAUUGUUUGCUAGGUGUAUUGAAGUGCUUUAGAUGCAUCAAAGUUUUGCUUUAUUGGAAAUAUGCUAGAAGGCUAUAGCCAAAUUAUUUCGGGUUUCUGAAUGAACGAAGACCAAAGACACAAAAUCAAGUCCAUUAAGUUACUAAUAAGCAUUUUUCCACACUAACAUUAGACCUGAAAAUACUGCCAAGAAAUUUUUCUUCCAUUAUGAGGUGUUCAGUGUAAUAACAUUUAACAUUUCAACCAGUAGGUGUUUAAGCCAUUUGAAGAGUCAAGAUAUGUAAUCCAAAGUGUUAAGGUGUUCCCUGAGCAUUGAGAGCGAAGCCACAGUUCAUUGCGGACCUAUUGUUAGAUCCACAGACGUAUUGACGCACAUUGGAGGGCUACUGCAUGCUUUACCAUCCAUUUCCAGCUAAAUUAGAAAUCAUUGUAUUCAAAAUUCCCAUUUGGAUUCAAGCCAGGCUAGCUUUCUUGUUCACAGACUUGACUAUGGAGUAACCUUGAAUACAUGUUCAGCAAAAGUCUAGUUUUCGAUAACAUACAUGAAGCUUUUCAGAAAGAAGUAUGGAUUGCCCCUCUGACCUGGAAGGAAACUUAGGCCAGAAAGACCUGCAUCAAACACUUUGGAGAUCUCUUGUUCUUGCCAUCUCCCUUUCACAGUGAGAUAGCUUGAUUUUUGGAAUUGUGUAUGCUUUCUUGGUUCCUUUUCUAUAAAUCUAGAACACAGAAAUUGUAUUAAGGGAAAAUAUUUAGAAGGGUGUUUCUCAAGAGUACAGAAUUACUGGCUGAAGCAAGUGUUUCUGAAUAGAGAUAACUGGGCCCUCUACAUAGAAAUGCUAGAAAAUUAAAUUAGGUUCAAAGCCGGGUGGUGGUGGCGCACGCCUUUAAUCCCAGCACUUGGGAGGCAGAGGCAGGUGGAACUCUGUGAGUUCAAGGCCAGCCUGGGUUACAGAGUAAGUUCCAGGAAAGGCGCAAAGCUACACAGCGAAACCCUGUCUCGAAAAAAAACCAAAAUAAAUAAAUAAAUAAAUUAGGUUCAAAUAGAAUCAAAUUACGCCAAAGCUGAGAUCAGAUCUCUGCUGAGAAGAGGUUUUACUGCGGCCCAGGUUAGCCUAGAGACGUCCAACCUAAGGGCAGAAUUUUACAGAGGAGUAGCGUGGGCUCACUGACCUAUAUAUCCAGUUAAAACCAGCUUUUCCACCCGACCAUUAGGUUAAAACUCGAAAGUACGUUUUGGGCUUAGCUCAGGAAGUGGAUAUGGCAUCUGGUACUCCUGUCAUUCAACUCAAUAUGAAAAAAGUUUAAAGUAGGCCUGGAGGCAGUGGUAUCACAGAAUGCACAGGGCACACUGUCUCCACCUUCAGAUCUCGAUCCCAUCUCCAGCACAAUUCCCACAGGAGUCUGAAAUGUUCAACCCUAAGGAAGACUUCUGACCAGCCUGGAUACUUGAACAAAAAUGGUCAGCAUGAGAGCCACCUGCUGGUAAUUACUGUGCGGUUUCUGUGGACGAAUCUGCUUUAGCUUAAGGUGGAGAAGAGGGUCCCUUAUACCAUAGCAUGAUUUUUAUCUGAUUUAUGAAGGAAAUACAUGACAUUGAGAGGUGGUCAUAGUAAAACAGGCAAUGGAGAAAUUACCUUAAUAGCACAUCAAAUAUUGAACUGCCCCAAGAGAUGUAGAAGACACAGGACUGCCAAGGCCGUUUUUCGAGAUUUUGUAUGAUUGUCUUUUGCCUGUAUGUUUAUAUGUGCACCAUAUGUGUGCCUCUUGCCUGUGGACAAUAGAAGAGGGCGUCAGAACUAGAGUUAGAGAUGGUUGGUAGCUGCCAUUUGGGUGCUGAGAACUGAACUCAGGCUUUCUCCAAGAGCAGCAAGUACUUUUCACCAGUUAGUCUUCUCUCCAGCCUGUACUGGCAAGUCAGACUGUAUUUGUCAGGAAUAGUGACAACUGUUACAAAAGAUGGGUUUGGUGAAAACGAAGUAGAGCAUGACAUUGCUCCUAGGAACUAUUCUGUUAUCCAGUGCUUCUUUAUGCGAAGUGACUGGCGCUAUUCUUGCAGUUAUAUGAACUUUGCAUAUCAAAACAGAUGUCAGAAUGUCAAGGGAAAACAUGGUUUGGGGAUGAAGAGAUCUUGAUUUGAGUCCUGUAUCUGCUAUUUAUCAACAACAUGACAUGACAUUGGAGCUGUGUAGCCCUAUUUGAAGAAUCUAAGAUAGUGUAUACAAAGCAUCUCCAUAUCCAAGACUCAACAAAUAUUAAACCCUUCAUGGCCACUGGA
RNA transcript from Peromyscus californicus insignis, 5616 nucleotides. It is a transcript of the gene named nucleic acid binding protein 1, with no coding region annotated. The record is from RefSeq and is a predicted model, not a curated record. Lineage: Eukaryota; Metazoa; Chordata; Mammalia; Rodentia; Cricetidae. The transcript has 7 exons.